UCGAGAAUUUUUGACAAUGGGGGAAACCCUGAUCGAGCGACGCCGCGUGGAGGAUGAAGGUCUUCGGAUUGUAAACUCCUGUCAUUGGGGAACAAUGCGUGACGGUUAACUGCCGUCGCGUUGAUAGUACCCGAAGAGGAAGAGACGGCUAACUCUGUG
Molecule: ribosomal RNA, 159 nt
Filed under: uncultured bacterium
Lineage: Bacteria
Description: partial 16S ribosomal RNA
Rfam family: Bacterial small subunit ribosomal RNA
Source: RNAcentral